This 29-nucleotide non-coding RNA is filed under the name Mus musculus (house mouse). Lineage: Eukaryota; Metazoa; Chordata; Mammalia; Rodentia; Muridae. The record is from RNAcentral.
UCCUAGGAAAGCAGUGAAGACCCUGGCCC